Molecule: unclassified non-coding RNA, 491 nt
Filed under: Penaeus japonicus
Lineage: Eukaryota; Metazoa; Arthropoda; Malacostraca; Decapoda; Penaeidae
Description: protein G1-like8, transcript variant X1
Source: RNAcentral
AGUCAGCACUUGCGCCUGAACACUUUUGAACAGCGUCCAGUCGUCGGCCACCAUGAACAAGUGUACUUUCCUCGCGCUUCUGAUGCUGUCGACCCUCCUCGUGGCGGCCGCUCCUGCCGACGGGCGCGCCGCCCCCGCCCCCGCCGCCCCCGCCCUCUCCAGGCCCGAGAGGUCGCCCGGGUCCUCCUCGGCUGCGGCAUCGUCUUCGUCUUCGUCUGGAAGAGGAGGGUCCUCGUCGUCAGCUGCAGCCGCGUCAUCGUCCUCAGGGUGAAGGGGCGAAGAUGAAGAGGAGGUGGGGGAGGAAGAGAAGGAGGGUCAGAAGAUAAAGAAAAAGAAAAGGACACCUCCAGGUGGAGAAAGAACAAACUGAUGAACAAGCACAAGGACGAUGAACGAGGACACCUAAAGAGGCUGAACAAGAUCAGCGCAAACUGCUUUGUUUUUGUUUUCCACUUUAUCGUCAUUUGAUGCUGAAUAAAUGACUAAUCUGA